AAGGGUGCAGGGCGGAUGCCUUGGCACUAGGAGCCGAUGAAGGACGUGAUAAGCUGCGAUAAGCUUCGGGGAGUUGCACGUAAACUUUGAUCCGAAGAUUUCCGAAUGAGGAAACUCACUUAGAGUAAUGUCUAAGUAUCAUUAAGUGAAUACAUAGCUUAAUGAGGGGAACUCAGGGAACUGAAACAUCUAAGUACCUGAAGGAAGAGAAAGAAAUUCGAUUCCGUAAGUAGCGGCGAGCGAACGCGGAUUAGCCCAAACCAAUAAAGUUUUCUUUAUUGGGGUUGCGGACAUAUCAUAACGAAGAGGUAUCGUAAUUGAAGAGGUUUGGAAAGACCCACCACA
Molecule: ribosomal RNA, 345 nt
Filed under: Clostridioides difficile
Lineage: Bacteria; Bacillati; Bacillota; Clostridia; Peptostreptococcales; Peptostreptococcaceae
Description: partial 23S ribosomal RNA
Rfam family: Bacterial large subunit ribosomal RNA
Source: RNAcentral